GAUUAAAUGCAUCUGACAAUGAACAGAAAAAUAGAGAUAAGCUGUUGUGAACAAAAUGAUACUUUACCCCAGAUUCCCAGUCAAUUAGUGCCAAACAAAAAAUAUUCACAUACGCUCAUCUUAAAAACCAAAGCACUACGAUAAAGAAACCUUAAUAACUGAACUUAGAUAUUGUAGAACUACCACUAAACCAUUUUUGAGUCACUGAAUUAGGUGAAGAAGGUGGC
RNAcentral lists this unclassified non-coding RNA (227 nucleotides) under Hevea brasiliensis (rubber tree). Lineage: Eukaryota; Viridiplantae; Streptophyta; Magnoliopsida; Malpighiales; Euphorbiaceae. The record is from RNAcentral.